This 155-nucleotide long non-coding RNA is filed under the name Sinocyclocheilus grahami. RNAcentral's name for it is "lncRNA (ENSSGRG00000001030.1)". Lineage: Eukaryota; Metazoa; Chordata; Actinopteri; Cypriniformes; Cyprinidae. The record is from RNAcentral.
UUAAUGGUGCUUCUGUUCAUUUGAAGAGGAAAGGAGGCAGAAGCAGUGUGGUGAAAAAGAAAGCAUUCUCUGAACCCAGUUCUCAGAUCAUUGGCCGGAAUCCAGAGAAGAAAGAGAGUGAAAACCUUAUCAAGAAACGUCUUCGUCCUAUGACC